Molecule: long non-coding RNA, 201 nt
Organism: Oncorhynchus keta (chum salmon)
Lineage: Eukaryota; Metazoa; Chordata; Actinopteri; Salmoniformes; Salmonidae
Exons: 3
Source: RefSeq, a predicted model, not a curated record
GUCCUCAGACCAACAGGAAGUCCAGGGACCAGAGACACCUCAGCUCCAGCCCCACGUCAGAGCACUGGUCAGAGGAGUGGUGGAUCUGUUUCCUGAUGUCCAGGAGAACUAUGUAGCAGAACUGAUCCAGACCAAUGACCUGAAAGACCUCAAUGUUAUCUGUAACAUGUUGUUGGAGAACCCAGCCUUCCCUCAGAGAGA